This 369-nucleotide ribosomal RNA is filed under the name uncultured bacterium. RNAcentral describes it as "bacterial SSU rRNA". It matches the Rfam family "Bacterial small subunit ribosomal RNA", at positions 434 to 793 of the family's 1533-position model. The record is from RNAcentral.
CAGUCGUGAGGAAGGUAGUGUAGUUAAUAGCUGCAUUAUUUGACGUUAGCGACAGAAGAAGCACCGGCUAACUCCGUGCCAGCAGCCGCGGUAAUACGGAGGGUGCGAGCGUUAAUCGGAAUUACUGGGCGUAAAGCGCAUGCAGGUGGUUUGUUAAGUCAGAUGUGAAAGACCCGGGGCGUCAACCUCGGAAUAGCAUUUGAAACUAGGCAGACUAGAGUACUGUAGAGGGGGGUAGGAAUUUCAGGUGUAGCGGUGAAAUGCGUAGAGAUCUGAAGGAAUACCGGUGGCGAAGGCGGCCCCCUCGGACAGAUACUGACACUCAGAUGCGAAAGCGUGGGGAGCAAACAGGAUUAGAUACCCUGGUAG